GGAAUAUUGCGCAAUGGGCGAAAGCCUGACGCAGCGACACCGCGUGAGGGACGAAGGCUUUCGAGUUGUAAACCUCUUUUCUCAGGGAAUAGCAAGGAAGGUACCUGAGGAAUAAGCAUUGGCUAACUCCGUGCCAGCAGCCGCGGUAAUACGGAGGGAGCAAGCGUUGCUCGGAAUCACUGGGCGUAAAGAGCGUGUAGGCGGAAUGAUUAGUCGGAUGUGAAAGUCCCGAGCUCAACUCGGGAAGUGCAUUCGAUACUGUCAUUCUUGAGUUCGAGAGGGGAGAGUGGAAUUCCUGGUGUAGCGGUGAAAUGCGUAGAUAUCAGGAAGAACACCUGUGGCGAAGGCGGCUCUCUGGAUCGAUACUGACGCUGAGACGCGAAAGCUAGGGGAGCAAACGGG
This 402-nucleotide ribosomal RNA is filed under the name uncultured bacterium. Its description in RNAcentral is "bacterial SSU rRNA". It matches the Rfam family "Bacterial small subunit ribosomal RNA", at positions 358 to 776 of the family's 1533-position model. The record is from RNAcentral.